This 1468-nucleotide long non-coding RNA is filed under the name Marmota monax (woodchuck). The record is from RNAcentral. Lineage: Eukaryota; Metazoa; Chordata; Mammalia; Rodentia; Sciuridae.
GUGUUUAUUUUUAUGUGGUGCUGAGGAUCGAACCCAGGGCCUCGCAUAUGCUAGGCUCAGCUGCAUCCUGGAUCCUCAUCCAGGAUCCCCUGCAUUCCAGCCAGUGGAGUCAAGGAACAACUGCUUAUUCUUCAUCCAACAAACCAACCACUAUUUAUUGAGACUGACUAUUUUUCAGGCAUAAUGCUUGGAGGUAGGAUAGUCCAGGGAAUCUAAUAGACAAUGGCCUGUACUCCUGAGACCCUGACCAGCAUCUCAGUUGGGAUAGACCUAAGGUCUGAGGGUCAUCCUGCUUCUCCUGGUACCAUGGUCCCCUCCACUGUGAGGAACAGUAGAAAAGAUACUGAUCUUUUGCAGUAAGCACUGGCCACAUGUGGCUAUUAAACACUUGAAAUGUGGCCAGUCCUGAGAUGUGCAUUAAAGUGUAAACCACACAUUGGAUUCAGAGACUUCCCAGGAUCCAAAAGACCAGAGGAUCUUAAAAUUAUAAAUAUUUUAAGGCAUUGGUUACAUGUUGAAAUGAUGAUAUUUUUAAUUUAGUGGGUUAAAUAAAAUAUACAGGUGCUCCACAGUGGGAGAGGGGAUUGGUUCCAGGACCCCCAAGGAUACCAAAAUCCAGGAAUGCUCAAGUCCUGUAUAUAAAAUAUCAUGGUAUUUACAUAUAACCUAUGCACAUUCUCUCACAUAUAUAUUUCAAGCAGGGGGUCUUGAUAUGUGACCCAGGUUGGACUUGAACUCCUGGGCUCCAAAGAUCCUCCUGCCUCAGCCUUCCAAGUAACUGGGACUGCAGGUGACACCACCCCUGGCCCAGCUCUCUGGUAUACUUUAAAUCAUCCCAGAUUUGUAUCUCCUCAUAUAAUGCAAAUGCUGUGAAAAUAGUCACUGUAUUGUUUAGGGAAUAAUCACUAGGAAAAAGAUAGUCAUAAGUGUCAAACUAUUUGUUUCUGAAUGUUUUCUGCCGAUGGUUGGUUGAAUUCAGGAUGUAGGGCUCCUCUCCUCCAGAAGCUCUCCAGGCUCUACGGCUGCUUUGUUCCUGCCUUGUGUUCUGCACGGCUCCAUCAUCAGCCCAGAUGCCCUCAGCUCCGCAGUCACAUCUCCCCCUCUGACUCUCCGGCCUCCCUCUUAAAAGGACCUCUGUGAUUCCAUUGGGCCACACAAAUAAUCCCUGAUAAUCUCCCCAUCUCAAGAUCCUUAAUCAUCCCGGAAAGUCCUGUUUGCCAUGUCAGGUGACACAUUCACAGGUUUCAGAUUAAGAUUUGGACAUCUUUGAGGGAGGCAUUAUUCUGCCUGCUACAAAGUCUGCCUUUCUUCUUUGUUACAUGCAAUAGUGGUACUCCCUACAGAGUCUGCCUUGUGGUAUGCCAUGAGGGCCAAAUGGUUGACUCUAUACUGAGAGUUUAGCAUAGUAGUUGGCACACAAUAAGUACUCAAUAAAGGUCACAGCUGCUAUUCAAUCUCCUCCUAUCAU